This 247-nucleotide ribosomal RNA is filed under the name uncultured bacterium. RNAcentral describes it as "partial 16S ribosomal RNA". It matches the Rfam family "Bacterial small subunit ribosomal RNA", at positions 1255 to 1500 of the family's 1533-position model. The record is from RNAcentral.
CUGUGAGGGGGAGGCGAAUCCCAAAAAUAACGUCUCAGUUCGGAUUGUAGUCUGCAACUCGACUACAUGAAGCUGGAAUCGCUAGUAAUCGCGAAUCAGAAUGUCGCGGUGAAUACGUUCCCGGGUCUUGUACACACCGCCCGUCACACCAUGGGAGUUGGUAACGCCCGAAGCCAGUGACCUAACCGAAAGGGAGGAGCUGUCGAAGGCGGGACCGAUAACUGGGGUGAAGUCGUAACAAGGUACC